This 64-nucleotide transfer RNA is filed under the name Chaetocnema confinis. RNAcentral describes it as "tRNA-Ala". The record is from RNAcentral. Lineage: Eukaryota; Metazoa; Arthropoda; Insecta; Coleoptera; Chrysomelidae.
AGGAUAAUAGUUAAUAAUAACAUUUAAUUUGCAUUUAAAAAGUAUUGGAAUUCAAUUUAUCUUA